This 1491-nucleotide ribosomal RNA is filed under the name uncultured prokaryote. RNAcentral describes it as "partial 16S ribosomal RNA". It matches the Rfam family "Bacterial small subunit ribosomal RNA". The record is from RNAcentral.
GAGAGUUUGAUCCUGGCUCAGGAUGAACGCUAGCGACAGGCCUAACACAUGCAAGUCGAGGGGCAGCAUUUCUAGCUUGCUAGAAGAUGGCGACCGGCGCACGGGUGAGUAACGCGUAUGCAACCUACCUUAUACUGGGGGAUAGCCCAAAGAAAUUUGGAUUAAUACCGCAUAACAUAUUUGAAUCGCAUGGUUUAAAUAUUAAAACUCCGGUGGUAUAAGAUGGGCAUGCGUAGCAUUAGUUUGUUGGUGAGGUAACGGCUCACCAAGACUAUGAUGCUUAGGGGGUCUGAGAGGAUAGUCCCCCACACUGGUACUGAGACACGGACCAGACUCCUACGGGAGGCAGCAGUGAGGAAUAUUGGUCAAUGGACGAAAGUCUGAACCAGCCAUGUCGCGUGCAGGAUGACGGCCCUAUGGGUUGUAAACUGCUUUUUUUACAGGAAGAAAGAUAAGUACGUGUAUUUAUUUGACGGUAGUAUAUGAAUAAGCAUCGGCUAACUCCGUGCCAGCAGCCGCGGUAAUACGGAGGAUGCGAGCGUUAUCCGGAUUUAUUGGGUUUAAAGGGUGUGUAGGCGGAUUUUUAAGUCAGUGGUGAAAUCUCUCGGCUCAACCGAGAAACUGCCAUUGAUACUGGAAGUCUUGAGUUUAGAUGAAGUAGGCGGAAUAUGUCAUGUAGCGGUGAAAUGCAUAGAUAUGACAUAGAACACCGAUAGCGAAGGCAGCUUACUAAUCUAUAACUGACGCUGAUGCACGAAAGCGUGGGUAGCGAACAGGAUUAGAUACCCUGGUAGUCCACGCCGUAAACGAUGUUCACUCGUUGUUGGCAAUACACCGUCAGCGACUAAGCGAAAGUGAUAAGUGAACCACCUGGGGAGUACGAUCGCAAGGUUGAAACUCAAAGGAAUUGACGGGGGCCCGCACAAGCGGAGGAGCAUGUGGUUUAAUUCGAUGAUACGCGAGGAACCUUACCUGGGCUUAAAUGUAUAUUGACAGUCAAAGAGAUUUGAUUUUCUUCGGACAAUUUACAAGGUGCUGCAUGGUUGUCGUCAGCUCGUGCCGUGAGGUGUCGGGUUAAGUCCCAUAACGAGCGCAACCCCUACCGUUAGUUGCCAUCAGGUCAAGCUGGGGACUCUAGCGGAACUGCCUGCGCAAGCAGAGAGGAAGGUGGGGAUGACGUCAAAUCAGCACGGCCCUUAUGUCCAGGGCUACACACGUGCUACAAUGGUCGGUACAGAGGGCAGCUACUUGGUGACAAGAUGCUAAUCUCUAAAGUAUGUCUCAGUUCGGAUCGGAGUCUGCAACUCGACUCCGUGAAGUUGGAUUCGCUAGUAAUCGUAUAUCAGCAAUGAUACGGUGAAUACGUUCCCGGGCCUUGUACACACCGCCCGUCAAGCCAUGGAAGCCGAGGGUACCUGAAGUCGGUGACCGCAAGGAGCUGCCUAAGGUAAAACUAGUAACUAGGGUUAAGUCGUAACAAGGUAGCCGUAG